AUGCAUGAGCAACCUAUCAACAUUGUGAGUUGGAACGUGAGAGGGGUAAAUUGCCCAGACCGCAGGGCUACUGCUAAGGCAAUAAUCAAGGGCACCUCAUGUCACCUUGUCUGCCUCCAAGAAACAAAGAUCAACUCCAUCGACAUGUUCAUUGCGGCUUCCAUUGGCAGAAAUAGGCUUCGUGGCUUCGCACAACGGCCGGCUGAGGGGACCCGUGGUGGCAUCCUCUUGCUUUGGGAUCAAGGCCUCCUGGAGGUCUCUGACAUUGCCACAUCUUCUUAUUGUCUGUCGGCCACGGUACGCAUCCGGGAUACUGGAGCUACAUUCAAAACCACUUCGGUGUAUGGUCCUGCCGACUCGGCGUGCAAGGAUGCCUUUUUUGCAGAGCUCCUCAGCCACAAGCCGCUGCCGGGAGUCGCCUGGUUGGCCUCAGGUGACUUCAAUCAAAUUUAUCGUGCUAGGGACAAAAAUAAGAGAAACGUGAACACAAGUAGGAUCAACCGCUUCCAUGCGAUGCUGCAGUCUUGUGAGCUUAAGGAAAUCCAUCUUCAGAACAAGCGCUUCACCUGGAGUAACGAGCGAUCCAAUCCAACCCUGUGCAAGCUAGACUCUUUCUUCUACAAUGUAGAGUGGGACACCACAUACAACACCCACGUUCUCCACACGCUUUCAUCCUCCUUGUCGGACCACUACCCGCUGCUCCUGGCAGAUGACAAAGGACCCAGACGUCCCCGCUCCUUCAAAUUUGAAAACAUUUGGGUCUCCUUGCCUAGGUUCGUUGAGGUGAUCCAAACGGCCUGAAACGAGCAUGUGCCCCACUCAGAGCCCUAUCAAGUCCUUCAUCAUAAGCUCAGAAAAACUGCCCUCCACCUUUCGGAAUGGAGUAGAAAAAUGUUCUCGAAGGCCAACGUCCAACUCCAUGCGGCUCUGUUGGUCAUCCUUCGGUUGGACAUUGCUCAAGAGACGCGUCUCCUCUCCCCCGCCGAGUCCGACCUUCGGGCUAGAUUAAAACGGCGAGUCAUUAGCCUGGCGGUCCUUCAGAGAGCUAGGAAGAGCCAGUGUGCGAGGGUGGCCAACCUCAAAGAAGGGGAUGCGAACACAAAUUUUUUCCAUCGCCGUGUCAAUGACAGGAGAAGAAAAAACCAUAUUCACCACAUCAAACAGUCUCACGGUUGGGUGACUGAGCAUGGGCAGAAGGAAACAAUCAUCCACGACCACUUCUCCGAGGUCAUGGGCGGAUUGGAACCAAUAGUAACGUUGUGA
RNAcentral lists this ribosomal RNA (1263 nucleotides) under Triticum aestivum (bread wheat). RNAcentral's name for it is "partial small subunit ribosomal RNA". Lineage: Eukaryota; Viridiplantae; Streptophyta; Magnoliopsida; Poales; Poaceae. The record is from RNAcentral.